This 69-nucleotide ribosomal RNA is filed under the name Bifidobacteriaceae bacterium. Its description in RNAcentral is "partial 16S ribosomal RNA". It matches the Rfam family "Bacterial small subunit ribosomal RNA", at positions 1 to 69 of the family's 1533-position model. Lineage: Bacteria; Bacillati; Actinomycetota; Actinomycetes; Bifidobacteriales; Bifidobacteriaceae. The record is from RNAcentral.
UUGAUGGAGAGUUUGAUCCUGGCUCAGGACGAACGCUGGCGGCGUGCUUAACACAUGCAAGUCGGACGA